This 685-nucleotide ribosomal RNA is filed under the name Cricetulus griseus (Chinese hamster). RNAcentral's name for it is "partial 12S ribosomal RNA". The stretch from base 1 to 362 matches the Rfam family "Bacterial small subunit ribosomal RNA", at positions 1030 to 1533 of the family's 1533-position model. Lineage: Eukaryota; Metazoa; Chordata; Mammalia; Rodentia; Cricetidae. The record is from RNAcentral.
UAAUUCAGCCUAUAUACCGCCAUCUUCAGCAAACCUUUAAAAAGAAUAAAAGUAAGCAAGAGCAUACCCGUAAAAACGUUAGGUCAAGGUGUAGCCUAUGGGAUGGGAAGUAAUGGGCUACAUUUUCUUGACAAGAACAUUCACGAUACCCUUUAUGAAAUUAAAGGACAAAGGAGGAUUUAGUAGUAAAUUAAGAAUAGAGAGCUUAAUUGAAUAGAGCAAUGAAGUACGUACACACCGCCCGUCACCCUCCUCAAAUUAGACUGCCGAUAUUAUACCUAAUACUUAUUAAUAAGCCUAUGAGAGGAGACAAGUCGUAACAAGGUAAGCAUACUGGAAAGUGUGCUUGGAUUACCAUAACGUAGCUUAAAUACAAUAAAGCAUCUGGUCUACACCCAGAAGAUUCCUAACUCACCGGACAUUAUGAACUAGCUCUAGCCCUAUGAACUAAAUAAUUAAACUAUUUUUAUUAAUAAAUCAAACCAUUUAACUAUUAAAGUAUCGGAGAGAGAAACUUUACCUAAAGGAGCUAUAGAGACAGUACCGUAAGGGAAAGAUGAAAGAUAAGCUAAAGUAAAAAAAAGCAAAGAUUAAACCUUUUACCUUUUGCAUAAUGAACUAACUAGAACAAUUCUAGCUAAGAGAACUGAAGCUAGAAACCCCGAAACCAAACGAGCUACCUAAG